This 274-nucleotide ribosomal RNA is filed under the name uncultured bacterium. Its description in RNAcentral is "partial 16S ribosomal RNA". It matches the Rfam family "Bacterial small subunit ribosomal RNA", at positions 523 to 796 of the family's 1533-position model. The record is from RNAcentral.
AUACGGAGGGGGCUAGCGUUGUUCGGAAUUACUGGGCGUAAAGCGUACGUAGGCGGACUGAUCAGUUGGGGGUGAAAUCCCAGGGCUUAACCCUGGAACUGCCUUCAAUACUGUCAGUCUUGAGAUUGGAAGAGGUGAGUGGAAUUCCUAGUGUAGAGGUGAAAUUCAUAGAUAUUAGGAGGAACACCAGUGGCGAAGGCGGCUCACUGGCCCGAUACUGACGCUGAGGCGCGAAAGCGUGGGGAGCAAACAGGAUUAGAAACCCUAGUAGUCC